RNAcentral lists this ribosomal RNA (253 nucleotides) under uncultured bacterium. Its description in RNAcentral is "partial 16S ribosomal RNA". It matches the Rfam family "Bacterial small subunit ribosomal RNA", at positions 524 to 776 of the family's 1533-position model. The record is from RNAcentral.
UACGUAGGGGGCUAGCGUUGUCCGGAAUCAUUGGGCGUAAAGCGCGUGUAGGCGGUCCGGUAAGUCCGCUGUGAAAGUCGAGGGCUCAACCCUCGAAUGCCGGUGGAUACUGUCGGGCUUGAGUACGGGAGAGGCGAGUGGAAUUCCUGGUGUAGCGGUGAAAUGCGCAGAUAUCAGGAAGAACACCCGUGGCGAAGGCGGCUCGCUGGGACGUGACUGACGCUGAGACGCGAAAGCGUGGGGAGCAAACAGG